Molecule: ribosomal RNA, 438 nt
Filed under: uncultured bacterium
Lineage: Bacteria
Description: bacterial SSU rRNA
Rfam family: Bacterial small subunit ribosomal RNA
Source: RNAcentral
AUGGGAACGCGAAGAACCUUACCUAAACUUGACAUCUCCUGCAUUACUCUUAAUCGAGGAAGUCCCUUCGGGGACAGGAAGACAGGUGGUGCAUGGUUGUCGUCAGCUCGUGUCGUGAGAUGUUGGGUUAAGUCCCGCAACGAGCGCAACCCCUAUUAUUAGUUGCUAACAUUAAGUUGAGCACUCUAGUGAGACUGCCCGGGUUAACCGGGAGGAAGGUGGGGAGUGACGUCAAAUCAUCAUGCCCCUUAUGUCUAGGGCUACACACGUGCUACAAUGGUGGGAACAAAGAGAUGCAAUACCGCAAGGUGGAGCUAAACUCAAAACCCCAUCCCAGUUCGGAUUGUAGGCUGAAACUCGCCUACAUGAAGCUGGAGUUGCUAGUAAUCGCGAAUCAGAAUGUCGCGGUGAAUACGUUCCCGGGUCUUGUACACACCG